UACGGAGGAUGCGAGCGUUAUCCGGAUUUAUUGGGUUUAAAGGGUGCGUAGGCGGGAUAUUAAGUCAGCGGUGAAAGUUUUCGGCUCAACCUUAAAAUUGCCGUUGAAACUGUUAUUCUUGAGUGCAGUAGAGGUAGGCGGAAUUCGUUGUGUAGCGGUGAAAUGCGUAGAUAUAACGAGGAACUCCGAUUGCGUAGGCAGCUUACUAUAUUGCUACUGACGCUGAGGCACGAAAGUGUGGGUAUCAAACAGGAUUAGAUACCCUGGUAGUCCACACAGUAAACGAUGAAUACUAGCUGUUUGCGAUAUAUUGUAAGCGGCCGAGCGAAAGCAUUAAGUAUUCCACCUGGGGAGUACGUCGGCAACGAUGAAACUCAAAGGAAUUGACGGGGGCCCGCACAAGCGGAGGAACAUGUGGUUUAAUUCGAUGAUACGCGAGGAACCUUACCCGGGCUUGAAAUGCAGAUGAUCGAAGUGGAGACACUUUUUCCAGCGAUGGCGUCUGUGUAGGUGCUGCAUGGUU
This 523-nucleotide ribosomal RNA is filed under the name uncultured bacterium. Its description in RNAcentral is "bacterial SSU rRNA". It matches the Rfam family "Bacterial small subunit ribosomal RNA", at positions 524 to 1050 of the family's 1533-position model. The record is from RNAcentral.